UACGGGGGGGGCAAGCGUUGUUCGGAAUUACUGGGCGUAAAGGGCUCGUAGGUGGCCAACUAAGUCAGACGUGAAAUCCCCAGGCUUAACCUGGGAACUGCGUCUGAUACUGGAUGGCUUGAGUUCGGGAGAGGGAUGCAGAAUUCCAGGUGUAGCGGUGAAAUGCGUAGAUAUCUGGAGGAAUACCGGUGGCGAAGGCGGCAUCCUGGACCGAGAUUGACACUGAUGAGCGAAAGCUAGGGGAGCAAACGGG
Molecule: ribosomal RNA, 253 nt
Filed under: uncultured bacterium
Lineage: Bacteria
Description: partial 16S ribosomal RNA
Rfam family: Bacterial small subunit ribosomal RNA
Source: RNAcentral